Molecule: ribosomal RNA, 253 nt
Filed under: uncultured Conexibacter sp.
Lineage: Bacteria; Bacillati; Actinomycetota; Thermoleophilia; Solirubrobacterales; Conexibacteraceae
Description: partial 16S ribosomal RNA
Rfam family: Bacterial small subunit ribosomal RNA
Source: RNAcentral
GACGUAGGGGGCAAGCGUUGUCCGGAAUCAUUGGGCGUAAAGAGCGUGUAGGCGGCCUGGUAAGUCCGCUGUGAAAGUCCAGGGCUCAACCCUGGAAUGCCGGUGGAAACUGUCAGGCUCGAGUCCGGAAGAGGCGAGUGGAAUUCCUGGUGUAGCGGUGAAAUGCGCAGAUAUCAGGAGGAACACCAAUGGCGAAGGCAGCUCGCUGGGACGGUACUGACGCUGAGACGCGAAAGCGUGGGGAGCAAACAGG